UGCAGUCGAGCGGGGGAGGUAGCUUGCUACUGGACCUAGCGGCGGACGGGUGAGUAAUACUUAGGAAUCUGCCUAUUAGUGGGGGACAACGUUCCGAAAGGAGCGCUAAUACCGCAUACGCCCUACGGGGGAAAGCAGGGGAUCUUCGGACCUUGCGCUAAUAGAUGAGCCUAAGUCGGAUUAGCUAGUUGGUGGGGUAAAGGCCUACCAAGGCGACGAUCUGUAGCGGGUUUGAGAGGAUGAUCCGCCACACUGGGACUGAGACACGGCCCAGACCCCUACGGGAGGCAGCAGUGGGGAAUAUUGGACAAUGGGCGCAAGCCUGAUCCAGCCAUGCCGCGUGUGUGAAGAAGGCCUUAUGGUUGUAAAGCACUUUAAGCGAGGAGGAGGCUUACCUAGCUAAUACCUAGGAUAAGUGGACGUUACUCGCAGAAUAAGCACCGGCUAACUCUGUGCCAGCAGCCGCGGUAAUACAGAGGGUGCAAGCGUUAAUCGGAAUUACUGGGCGUAAAGCGCGCGUAGGUGGCCAUUUAAGUCAAAUGUGAAAUCCCCGAGCUUAACUUGGGAAUUGCAUUCGAUACUGGGUGGCUAGAGUAUAGGAGAGGAAGGUAGAAUUCCAGGUGUAGCGGUGAAAUGCGUAGAGAUCUGGAGGAAUACCGAU
Molecule: ribosomal RNA, 661 nt
Filed under: uncultured Acinetobacter sp.
Lineage: Bacteria; Pseudomonadati; Pseudomonadota; Gammaproteobacteria; Moraxellales; Moraxellaceae
Description: bacterial SSU rRNA
Rfam family: Bacterial small subunit ribosomal RNA
Source: RNAcentral